This 253-nucleotide ribosomal RNA is filed under the name uncultured bacterium. RNAcentral describes it as "partial 16S ribosomal RNA". It matches the Rfam family "Bacterial small subunit ribosomal RNA", at positions 524 to 776 of the family's 1533-position model. The record is from RNAcentral.
UACAGAGGGGGCAAGCGUUGUUCGGAAUUACUGGGCGUAAAGGGCGCGUAGGCGGCCCGCUAAGUCGAACGUGAAAUCCCUAGGCUCAACCUAGGAACUGCGUCUGAUACUGGAUGGCUUGAGUAUGGGAGAGGGAUGUAGAAUUCCAGGUGUAGCGGUGAAAUGCGUAGAUAUCUGGAGGAAUACCGGUGGCGAAGGCGGCAUCCUGGACCAUUACUGACGCUGAGGCGCGAAAGCUAGGGGAGCAAACGGG